Molecule: ribosomal RNA, 491 nt
Filed under: uncultured bacterium
Lineage: Bacteria
Description: partial 16S ribosomal RNA
Rfam family: Bacterial small subunit ribosomal RNA
Source: RNAcentral
AGUGAACGCUGGCGGUAGGCCUAACACAUGCAAGUCGAACGGCAGCACAGUAAGAGCUUGCUCUUACGGGUGGCGAGUGGCGGACGGGUGAGGAAUACAUCGGAAUCUACUUUUUCGUGGGGGAUAACGUAGGGAAACUUACGCUAAUACCGCAUACGACCUACGGGUGAAAGCAGGGGAUCUUCGGACCUUGCGCGAUUGAAUGAGCCGAUGUCGGAUUAGCUAGUUGGCGGGGAAAGGCCCACCAAGGCGACGAUCCGUAGCUGGUCUGGGAGGAUGAUCAGCCACACUGGAACUGAGACACGGUCCAGACUCCUACGGGAGGCAGCAGUGGGGAAUAUUGGACAAUGGGCGCAAGCCUGAUCCAGCCAUACCGCGUGGGUGAAGAAGGCCUUCGGGUUGUAAAGCCCUUUUGUUGGGAAAGAAAAGCAGCAGGUUAAUACCCCGCUGUUCUGACGGUACCCAAAGAAUAAGCACCGGCUAACUUCGUG